ACGAUGUGUGGAGGAUGCUUGGAGGCACGUGAAGAGCAGUGUUGGCGCCAGCCCGGCGCAAUACGUGCUCGGCACAUUCGUGGACUUCAAAGGAGCAUUCGACAACGUCGAAUGGAGUGCUGCACUCAGCCGACUAGCCGACUUGGGAUGCCGGGAAAUGGGCUUGUGGCAGAGCUUUUUCUCCGGCCGAAGAGCAGUGAUCCGAAGCAGUUCCGGUACUGUGGAGGUACCGGUAACUAGAGGCUGCCCGCAGGGAUCAAUCAGCGGCCCAUUUAUCUGGGACAUACUGAUGGAUGUACUGCUUCAGCGUCUCCAGCCGUAUUGCCAGCUGAGUGCAUACGCGGAUGACUUGCUGCUUCUCGUCGAGGGAAAUUCCCGAGCUGUGCUAGAGGAAAAAGGAGCGCAACUAAUGUCCAUCGUAGAAACGUGGGGAGCGGAAGUUGGCGUUGCCGUCUCGACCAGCAAGACGGUAAUCAUGCUGCUGAAAGGUGCCUUGAGACGUGCGCCUACGGUGAGGUUUGCUGGAGCGAACCUUCCGUAUGUGCGUAGCUGUCGGUACCUUGGCAUCACGGUCAGUGAAGGAAUGAAAUUCCUCACGCACAUAGCUUCGCUUCGCCAGCGGAUGACAGGAGUCGUUGGAGCAUUGGCGCGUGUGCUUCGAGCCGACUGGGGCUUCAGUCCUCGAGCCAGGCGGACCAUAUAUGACGGACUCAUGGCACCUUGUGUGCUGUUUGGUGCCCCGGUAUGGUAUGACACCGCGGAACAAGUAGCUGCCCAGAGGCGACUAGCCUCCUGCCAGAGGCUAAUCCUGCUUGGAUGCCUUUCGGUAUGCCGAACAGUAUCCACAGUGGCACUGCAGGUACUUGGUGGAGCUCCCCCGCUUGAUCUGGCUGCUAAGUUAUUAGCGAUCAAAUACAAGCUAAAACGUGGAUUCCCGCUGGAGGAGAACGACUGGCUUUACGGCGAGGACAUUGCGUGUCUUAGCUGGGAGCAGAGGAAGACUCGCCUAGAGGAGUGUUUAAUCCAGAGUUGGCAGAACAGAUGGGACGAUGACAGCGAACCAGGACGGGUGACGCAUAGGUUUAUCCCAUACGUCACUCUUGCCUAUCGGGAUCCAAGUUUUGGAUUCUCGAUGAGGACGUCUUUCCUGCUUACAGGGCACGGGUCGUUCAAUGCAUUUUUGCACGGGAGAGCCCUCAGCGAUACCACUGCUUGCGCAUGUGGAGAUCCAUAUGAGGACUGGAUGCAUAUCUUGUGCGCUUGCCCCCUAUAUGCAGAUCUGCGGGACCUAGAUGGACUUGGAGUGCAGCGCCUUGGCGAAAACUGGAUCUUCGAGGGAAUCCUGGAUGAUCAAGAGAAGACUCAACGGCUGGCAAUGUUUGCGGAAGAAGUGUUCCUGAGGAGGAGGGGCGUUUAGCUCAACAUCUCUGCCGUGUGGUUAGCGGGCGAGAAUACUACCACAGUCCGCUGUUGCUUGUCGUAAGAGACGACUAAUACAGCGAUAGGAUUCCUCUAACCCUGCUUGUCGGAGCAAAAGGGGGAGGCCCACCGAGCCUCUUUUCGGUACCACGGGUUGAGCAGCUAUCCAAGACUGCUCAUUGAGGUAGGCCCCCUGGUGGGAGUAUCGUGGUGGCUGUGGUUGGUACCCAUAUCGCGGGUAGAGCCUUCAUGCUCGACGUUUGAGUUACGGUGCUAGUUGCGCAAAACUCGGGUGCUGUGACCCAGAGAUCAGUAGAGAUUUUAGGUAGAUCUCGCUCCUCAGCAAGGGGGAGUGCUUGCCCGGCAAGCAAGUACUCGAAUUGCUACCGGGGUGGUCGCUAUGUACAUAGCUAUAGCUUCUAGUCCGGGACGCUUGUCGGGCGUAUCCAGACACAUGCACCAUAUGCUCACUUGUGGGUGUAUAGGGUGCCGUGGUUGUAAUCCCUUCAGUGUGGAACACGCCACGUAAAAUAAGUUCGGAGGGAUCCGAAAAGCAUACAUUGUCCCUAUCUACUAUCUAGCGAAACCACAGCCAAGGGAAUGGGCUUGGAAUAAUUAGCGGGGAAAGAAGACCCUUUUGAGCUUGACUCUAAUCUGGCAGUGUAAGGAGACAUAAGAGGUGUAGAAUAAGUGGGAGAUAUUAGACCUCGGUUUGGUAUCGUCAAUGAAAUACCACUACUCUUAUUGUUUCCUUACUUACUUGAUUAAAUGGAACGUGUAUCAUUUCCUAGCCAUUAUACGGAUAUAUUUAUUAUAUCUUAUGGUAUUGGGUUUUGAUGCAAGCUUCUUGAUCAAAGUAUCACGAGUUUGUUAUAUAAUCGCAAACAAAUUCUUUAAUAAAACGAUGCAUUUAUGUAUUUUUGAUUUGAAAAUUUGGUAUAACUCCAAUUACUCAGGUAUGAUCCAAUUCAAGGACAUUGCCAGGUAGGGAGUUUGACUGGGGCGGUACAUCUCUCAAAUAAUAACGGAGGUGUCCCAAGGCCAGCUCAGUGCGGACAGAAACCACACAUAGAGCAAAAGGGCAAAUGCUGACUUGAUCUCGGUGUUCAGUACACACAGGGACAGCAAAAGCUCGGCCUAUCGAUCCUUUUGGUUUAAAGAGUUUUUAACAAGAGGUGUCAGAAAAGUUACCAUAGGGAUAACUGGCUUGUGGCGGCCAAGCGUUCAUAGCGACGUCGCUUUUUGAUCCUUCGAUGUCGGCUCUUCCUAUCAUUGUGAAGCAAAAUUCACCAAGCGUUGGAUUGUUCACCCAUGCAAGGGAACGUGAGCUGGGUUUAGACCGUCGUGAGACAGGUUAGUUUUACCCUACUAAUGACAAAACGUUGUUGCGACAGCAUUCCUGCGUAGUACGAGAGGAACCGCAGGUACGGACCAAUGGCACAAUACUUGUUCGAGCGAACAGUGGUAUGACGCUACGUCCGUUGGAUUAUGCCUGAACGCCUCUAAGGUCGUAUCCGUGCUGGACUGCAAUGAUAAAUAAGGGGCAAUUUGCAUUGU
RNAcentral lists this ribosomal RNA (2976 nucleotides) under Drosophila melanogaster (fruit fly). Its description in RNAcentral is "eukaryotic LSU rRNA". The stretch from base 1946 to 2976 matches the Rfam family "Eukaryotic large subunit ribosomal RNA", at positions 1891 to 3185 of the family's 3401-position model. Lineage: Eukaryota; Metazoa; Arthropoda; Insecta; Diptera; Drosophilidae. The record is from RNAcentral.